RNAcentral lists this ribosomal RNA (468 nucleotides) under uncultured bacterium. RNAcentral's name for it is "partial 16S ribosomal RNA". It matches the Rfam family "Bacterial small subunit ribosomal RNA", at positions 28 to 507 of the family's 1533-position model. The record is from RNAcentral.
GAUGAACGCUGGCGGCGUGCUUAACACAUGCCAGUCGAACGGAAAGGCCAGUGCUUGCCCUGGUACUCGAGUGGCGAACGGGUGAGUAACACGUGGGUGAUCCGCCCUGCACUUCGGGAUAAGCCUGGGAAACUGGGUCUAAUACCGGAUAGGACAAUGGUUUGGAUGCCGUUGUGGAAAGUUUUUUCGGUGUGGGAUGAGCUCGCGGCCUAUCAGCUUGUUGGUGGGGUAUUGGCCUACCAAGGCGUCGACGGGUAGCCGGCCUGAGAGGGUGUACGGCCGGAGUGGAACAGAGAUACAGGCAGGAGUCCGACGGGAGGCAGAAGGGGGGAAUAUUGGACAAAGGGAGCAAGCCUGAGGGAUGGAGGCCGCGGGGUGGAUAACGGCCUUCGGGUGGUAAACACCUAUGGGUAGGGAAGAAGGGAAUUUGUGACGGUACCUGGAGAAGAAGCACCGGCUAACUACGUG